AUGAACGCUGGCGGCGUGCCUAAUACAUGCAAGUCGAGCGAACGGACGAGAAGCUUGCUUUUCUGAUGUUAGCGGCGGACGGGUGAGUAACACGUGGAUAACCUACCUAUAAGACUGGGAUAACUUUGGGAAACCGGAGCUAAUACCGGAUAAUAUUUUGAACCGCAUGGUUCAAAAGUGAAAGACGGUCUUGCUGUCACUUAUAGAUGGAUCCGCGCUGCAUUAGCUAGUUGGUAAGGUAACGGCUUACCAAGGCAACGAUGCAUAGCCGACCUGAGAGGGUGAUCGGCCACACUGGAACUGAGACACGGUCCAGACUCCUACGGGAGGCAGCAGUAGGGAAUCUUCCGCAAUGGGCGAAAGCCUGACGGAGCAACGCCGCGUGAGUGAUGAAGGUCUUCGGAUCGUAAAACUCUGUUAUUAGGGAAGAACAUAUGUGUAAGUAACUGUGCACAUCUUGACGGUACCUAAUCAGAAAGCCACGGCUAACUACGUG
Molecule: ribosomal RNA, 496 nt
Filed under: uncultured bacterium
Lineage: Bacteria
Description: partial 16S ribosomal RNA
Rfam family: Bacterial small subunit ribosomal RNA
Source: RNAcentral